This 429-nucleotide ribosomal RNA is filed under the name Chloroflexota bacterium. RNAcentral describes it as "Chloroflexi bacterium partial 16S ribosomal RNA". It matches the Rfam family "Bacterial small subunit ribosomal RNA", at positions 355 to 776 of the family's 1533-position model. The record is from RNAcentral. Lineage: Bacteria; Bacillati; Chloroflexota.
UGGGGAAUAUUGCACAAUGGGCGCAAGCCUGAUGCAGCCAUGCCGCGUGUAUGAAGAAGGCCUUCGGGUUGUAAAGUACUUUCAGCGGGGAGGAAGGGAGUAAAGUUAAUACCUUUGCUCAUUGACGUUACCCGCAGAAGAAGCACCGGCUAACUCCGUGCCAGCAGCCGCGGUAAUACGGAGGGUGCAAGCGUUAAUCGGAAUUACUGGGCGUAAAGCGCACGCAGGCGGUCUGUCAAGUCGGAUGUGAAAUCCCCGGGCUCAACCUGGGAACUGCAUUCGAAACUGGCAGGCUAGAGUCUUGUAGAGGGGGGUAGAAUUCCAGGUGUAGCGGUGAAAUGCGUAGAGAUCUGGGGGAAUACCGGUGGCGAAGGCGGCCCCCUGGACAAAGACUGACGCUCAGGUGCGAAAGCGUGGGGAGCAAACAGG